This 182-nucleotide non-coding RNA is filed under the name Clostridia bacterium. RNAcentral's name for it is "6S RNA". It matches the Rfam family "6S / SsrS RNA". From Rfam's summary of the family: E. coli 6S RNA was the first non coding RNA to be sequenced, but its function was unknown until recently. It consists of 184 nucleotides that fold into an extended hairpin structure with a large single-stranded internal bulge. The 6S RNA specifically associates with RNA polymerase holoenzyme containing the sigma70 specificity factor. The record is from RNAcentral. Lineage: Bacteria; Bacillati; Bacillota; Clostridia.
AACUGUCUGCGGUGUUCGUGGUAUGGGAAAUUCGUAAUCCACAAUAUUUUUACGGGAGCGGUCCGUUCGCGGAAAUAGAUAAGGUCUGAAUUUUUCGGAAAGGUCGAUUUUUCCGCUUCGCCGCACCCACCUGCGAGAUGCGGGUUAAUACUUUUUCAUAUCACGGCACAGGCGGAUAUUUU